This is a long non-coding RNA of Triticum dicoccoides, 1036 nucleotides long. RefSeq lists it as uncharacterized. The transcript is spliced from 4 exons. The record is from RefSeq and is a predicted model, not a curated record. NCBI's taxonomy places the organism in Eukaryota, Viridiplantae, Streptophyta, Magnoliopsida, Poales, Poaceae.
UCUCCAUCCUCCCUGAAAAUAUCUCCUCUUUCUCCGUCCUCCCUCCUCAUCCGGCUCCUCUUCUCCAUGCCGCCGUCGUCGCCUCCUCUUCCCCGUCGCUCACAGCCGCCUCGCCCGCUCCGCCUUCACCACCUCCUCUCGUGGCUCCCGUGUCGGAGUUCAGUGCCAGGGGAAGAGGGAUCGACGAUGGCGCAACAGAGGAGAUGGAGUAGCGUGCUCCUGCCGCCGUCCGACCCCAUCCUUCCUCCGCUCCUCCCCGCCCCUGCCUCCGCCUUGCCGCAUCCUCUGCGCCGUCGUGCCAUCACACCAUCUCCACUUCUGCCCAGCGCCCCGCUGCAGCCGCCUGCUGGUCGUCCUAUUCUAUAUGGAGCUGCACAUCGGCUUCGGCAUCGUCGCCGGCAGCGACUUCAUUCACCGCCUCCUCUAUAUUCAGUCCCUCUCAGACAAACCCAUCCAUGAGACAUCCAUAGCAAACUGAAACUCAAUUUCAUCGCAUUAGUCAAAGCAUGCCAUCACGUAUUCUUUGUUGUUGUCACUGGAAUCCUUUACAACCCGACAUUAUCACUGGAAUUCUUUAGAACCUGACAUUAUCGGGUUUCUUAAUUUUCUCCAUUGGACACUCUCCUAUCUGAAAUAUUAGUCUUGCCUAUUUAAUGGUGGUUCACAUGCAGGUUCAGAGAGUAGCUCACUUGGAUAUGAGCAUAUGUGCAAUCUUGAGUGGUCUCAAGACGAGAUGAAUUAAACAAUGUUGACAUGCUGGUUGUGCUAGGAUGAUUUUGUCAUGUGUCAUGCUUCAAGAAAAGCAGGCUGGUCUUACAUCUAUUUGGAAUAUUUAGAUGGCCAAGGUCAAAGAGUAUCAAGUUGCAGUGUUGCAAGGUAUACCCUGCCUUGGAGAAGGGCAUUCUGUGGGCUGCUUCUACAGAGUAUCAAAUCUGAGAUCAAUCCAGUUUUGAGUUAGGUUACCUAAAGACUCCAUGCACCUCUUCGUCACAUGUCCACUUGCCAACAGGAUAUGGCAACGAAUCGGGUCCUGCCG